AGAGUUUGAUCAUGGCUCAGGAUGAACGCUAGCUACAGGCUUAACACAUGCAAGUCGAGGGGAAACGACAUCGAAAGCUUGCUUUUGAUGGGCGUCGACCGGCGCACGGGUGAGUAACGCGUAUCCAACCUGCCCACCACUUGGGGAUAACCUUGCGAAAGUAAGACUAAUACCCAAUGAUAUCUCUAGAAGACAUCUGAAAGAGAUUAAAGAUUUAUCGGUGAUGGAUGGGGAUGCGUCUGAUUAGCUUGUUGGCGGGGUAACGGCCCACCAAGGCAACGAUCAGUAGGGGUUCUGAGAGGAAGGUCCCCCACAUUGGAACUGAGACACGGUCCAAACUCCUACGGGAGGCAGCAGUGAGGAAUAUUGGUCAAUGGACGAGAGUCUGAACCAGCCAAGUAGCGUGCAGGAUGACGGCCCUAUGGGUUGUAAACUGCUUUUAUAAGGGAAUAAAGUGAGCCUCGUGAGGCUUUUUGCAUGUACCUUAUGAAUAAGGACCGGCUAAUUCCGUGCCAGCAGCCGCGGUAAUACGGAAGGUCCGGGCGUUAUCCGGAUUUAUUGGGUUUAAAGGGUGCGUAGGCGGCCUUUUAAGUCAGCGGUGAAAGUCUGUGGCUCAACCAUAGAAUUGCCGUUGAAACUGGGAGGCUUGAGUAUGUUUGAGGCAGGCGGAAUGCGUGGUGUAGCGGUGAAAUGCUUAGAUAUCACGCAGAACCCCGAUUGCGAAGGCAGCCUGCCAAGCCAUGACUGACGCUGAUGCACAAAAGCGUGGGGAUCAAACAGGAUUAGAUACCCUGGUAGUCCACGCAGUAAACGAUGAUCACUAGCUGUUUGCGAUACAGUGUAAGCGGCACAGCGAAAGCGUUAAGUGAUCCACCUGGGGAGUACGCCGGCAACGGUGAAACUCAAAGGAAUUGACGGGGGCCCGCACAAGCGGAGGAACAUGUGGUUUAAUUCGAUGAUACGCGAGGAACCUUACCCGGGUUUGAACGCAUUCGGACCGAGGUGGAAGCACCUUUUCUAGCAAUAGCCGUUUGCGAGGUGCUGCAUGGUUGUCGUCAGCUCGUGCCGUGAGGUGUCGGCUUAAGUGCCAUAACGAGCGCAACCCUUGUUGUCAGUUACUAACAGGUUCCGCUGAGGACUCUGACAAGACUGCCAUCGUAAGAUGUGAGGAAGGUGGGGAUGACGUCAAAUCAGCACGGCCCUUACGUCCGGGGCUACACACGUGUUACAAUGGGGGGUACAGAGGGCCGCUACCACGCGAGUGGAUGCCAAUCCCAAAAACCUCUCUCAGUUCGGACUGGAGUCUGCAACCCGACUCCACGAAGCUGGAUUCGCUAGUAAUCGCGCAUCAGCCACGGCGCGGUGAAUACGUUCCCGGGCCUUGCACACACCGCCCGU
Molecule: ribosomal RNA, 1398 nt
Filed under: uncultured bacterium
Lineage: Bacteria
Description: bacterial SSU rRNA
Rfam family: Bacterial small subunit ribosomal RNA
Source: RNAcentral